GUGAGGAAUUUUCCGCAAUGGGCGAAAGCCUGACGGAGCAAUGCCGCGUGAAGGAUGAAGGCCUAUGGGUUGUAAACUUCUUUUCUCAGAAAAGAAUUAUGACGGUAUCUGAGGAGUAAGCAUCGGCUAACUCUGUGCCAGCAGCCGCGGUAAGACAGAGGAUGCAAGCGUUAUCCGGAAUGAUUGGGCGUAAAGCGUCUGUAGGUUGUUUAAAAAGUAUUCUGUCAAAGAUUAGGGCUUAACCCUAGAUAGGCAGAAUAAACUUUUAAGCUAGAGUUUGGUAGAGGCAGAGGGAAUUCCCGGUGGAGCGGUGAAAUGCGUAGAUAUCGGGAGGAACACCAAAGGCGAAGGCACUCUGCUGGGCCAAUACUAACACUGAGAGACGAAAGCUAGGGGAGCAAAUGGGAUUAGAAACCCUUGUAGUCC
RNAcentral lists this ribosomal RNA (426 nucleotides) under uncultured bacterium. RNAcentral describes it as "bacterial SSU rRNA". It matches the Rfam family "Bacterial small subunit ribosomal RNA", at positions 354 to 796 of the family's 1533-position model. The record is from RNAcentral.